This 459-nucleotide ribosomal RNA is filed under the name uncultured bacterium. RNAcentral describes it as "bacterial SSU rRNA". It matches the Rfam family "Bacterial small subunit ribosomal RNA", at positions 28 to 500 of the family's 1533-position model. The record is from RNAcentral.
GAUGAACGCUGGCGGCGUGCUUAACACAUGCAAGUCGAACGGGAUCCAUCAAGCUUGCUUGGUGGUGAGAGUGGCGAACGGGUGAGUAAUGCGUGACCGACCUGCCCCAUACACCGGAAUAGCUCCUGGAAACGGGUGGUAAUGCCGGAUGCUCCAGUUGAUCGCAUGGUCUUCUGGGAAAGCUUUCGCGGUAUGGGAUGGGGUCGCGUCCUAUCAGCUUGACGGCGGGGUAACGGCCCACCGUGGCUUCGACGGGUAGCCGGCCUGAGAGGGCGACCGGCCACAUUGGGACUGAGAUACGGCCCAGACUCCUACGGGAGGCAGCAGUGGGGAAUAUUGCACAAUGGGCGCAAGCCUGAUGCAGCGACGCCGCGUGAGGGAUGGAGGCCUUCGGGUUGUAAACCUCUUUUAUCGGGGAGCAAGCGAGAGUGAGUUUACCCGUGAAUAAGCACCGGCUAA